RNAcentral lists this ribosomal RNA (498 nucleotides) under uncultured bacterium. Its description in RNAcentral is "partial 16S ribosomal RNA". It matches the Rfam family "Bacterial small subunit ribosomal RNA", at positions 30 to 523 of the family's 1533-position model. The record is from RNAcentral.
AUUGAACGCUGGCGGCAUGCCUUACACAUGCAAGUCGAACGGGAACAGGUCUUCGGAUGCUGACGAGUGGCGAACGGGUGAGUAAUACAUCGGAACGUGCCUAGUAGUGGGGGAUAACUACUCGAAAGAGUGGCUAAUACCGCAUGAGAUCUACGGAUGAAAGCAGGGGAUCGCAAGACCUUGUGCUACUAGAGCGGCCGAUGGCAGAUUAGGUAGUUGGUGGGAUAAAAGCUUACCAAGCCGACGAUCUGUAGCUGGUCUGAGAGGACGAUCAGCCACACUGGGACUGAGGAACGGCCCAGACUCCUACGGGAGGCAGCAGUGGGGAAUUUUGGACAAUGGGCGAAAGCCUGAUCCAGCAAUGCCGCGUGCAGGAUGAAGGCCUUCGGGUUGUAAACUGCUCUUGUACGGAACGAAAAGCCCCGGGUUAAUACCCUGGGGUCAUGACGGUACCGUAAGAAUAAGCACCGGCUAACUACGUGCCAGCAGCCGCCGUAA